RNAcentral lists this ribosomal RNA (496 nucleotides) under uncultured bacterium. RNAcentral's name for it is "partial 16S ribosomal RNA". It matches the Rfam family "Bacterial small subunit ribosomal RNA", at positions 29 to 507 of the family's 1533-position model. The record is from RNAcentral.
AUGCACGCUGGCGGCGUGCCUAAUACAUGCCAGUCGAGCGAACAGACGAGGAGCUUGCUCCUCUGACGUUAGCGGCGGCCGGGUGAGUAACACGUGGAUAACCUACCUAUAAGACUGGGAUAACUUCGGGAAACCGGAGCUAAUACCGGAUAAUAUAUUGAACCGCAUGGUUCAAUAGUGAAAGACGGUUUUGCUGUCACUUAUAGAUGGAUCCGCGCCGCAUUAGCUAGUUGGUAAGGUAACGGCUUACCAAGGCGACGAUGCGUAGCCGACCUGAGAGGGUGAUCGGCCACACUGGAACUGAGACACGGUCCAGACUCCUACGGGAGGCAGCAGUAGGGAAUCUUCCGCAAUGGGCGAAAGCCUGACGGAGCAACGCCGCGUGAGUGAUGAAGGUCUUCGGAUCGUAAAACUCUGUUAUUAGGGAAGAACAAAUGUGUAAGUAACUAUGCACGUCUUGACGGUACCUUAUCAGAAAGCCACGGCUAACUACGUG